UUAAGCAUAUCAAUAAGCGGAGGAAAAGAAACCAACAGGGAUUGCCUCAGUAACGGCGAGUGAAGCGGCAACAGCUCAAAUUUGAAAUCUGGCUCUUUCGGGGUCCGAGUUGUAAUUUGUAGAGGAUGCUUUGGCGUUGGCCGUGGUCUAAGUUCCUUGGAACAGGACGUCACAGAGGGUGAGAAUCCCGUACGUGGCCGCCGGUCUUCGCCGUGUAAAGCUCCUUCGACGAGUCGAGUUGUUUGGGAAUGCAGCUCUAAAUGGGAGAUAAAUUUCUUCUAAAGCUAAAUAUUGGCCAGAGACCGAUAGCGCACAAGUAGAGUGAUCGAAAGAUGAAAAGCACUUUGGAAAGAGAGUCAAAAAGCACGUGAAAUUGUUGAAAGGGAAGCGCUUGCAGCCAGACGUGCCCGCAGUUGCUCACCUAGGCUCUCGCCUGGGGCAUUCUUCUGCGGGCAGGCCAGCAUCAGUUCGGGCGGUUGGAUAAAGGUCUCUAUCACGUAUCUUCCUUCGGGAAGACCUUAUAGGGGAGACGCAACACGGCCAGCCUGAACUGAGGACCGCGCAUUCGCUAGGAUGCUGGCGUAAUGGCUGUAAGCGGCCCGUCUUGAAACACGGACCAAGGAGUCUAACAUCUAUGCGAGUGUUUGGGUGUCAAGCCCGGACGCGCAAUGAAAGUGAACGGAGGUGGGAACCUUUCGGGGUGCACCAUCGACCGAUCCUGAAGUCUUCGGAUGGAUUUGAGUAAGAGCAUAGCUGUUGGGACCCGAAAGAUGGUGAACUAUGCCUGAAUAGGGUGAAGCCAGGGGAAACCCUGGUGGAGGCUCGCAGCGGUUCUGACGUGCAAAUCGAUCGUCAAAUUUGGGCAUAG
RNAcentral lists this ribosomal RNA (868 nucleotides) under Roussoella tuberculata. Its description in RNAcentral is "eukaryotic LSU rRNA". It matches the Rfam family "Eukaryotic large subunit ribosomal RNA", at positions 34 to 920 of the family's 3401-position model. Lineage: Eukaryota; Fungi; Ascomycota; Dothideomycetes; Pleosporales; Thyridariaceae. The record is from RNAcentral.